RNAcentral lists this ribosomal RNA (253 nucleotides) under uncultured bacterium. RNAcentral describes it as "partial 16S ribosomal RNA". It matches the Rfam family "Bacterial small subunit ribosomal RNA", at positions 524 to 776 of the family's 1533-position model. The record is from RNAcentral.
UACGUAGGGUGCAAGCGUUGUCCGGAAUUAUUGGGCGUAAAGGGCUCGUAGGCGGUUUGUCGCGUCGGGAGUGAAAACACCGGGCUUAACUCGGUGCUUGCUUUCGAUACGGGCAGACUAGGGGUAUGCAGGGGAGAACGGAAUUCCUGGUGUAGCGGUGAAAUGCGCAGAUAUCAGGAGGAACACCGGUGGCGAAGGCGGUUCUCUGGGCAUUACCUGACGCUGAGGAGCGAAAGUGUGGGGAGCGAACAGG